This is a long non-coding RNA of Lactuca sativa (garden lettuce), 1544 nucleotides long. RefSeq lists it as uncharacterized. NCBI's taxonomy places the organism in Eukaryota, Viridiplantae, Streptophyta, Magnoliopsida, Asterales, Asteraceae. The record is from RefSeq and is a predicted model, not a curated record.
ACCCUAAUCUCGCACACGACAACCGCCAUCAAACCAAAUCUCAUCUUUCUCUCUUUAUCUCUUCACCCUCACGACGUAACGUGUUCUUCCCUGACUCCCGGCAACAUCACACACGAGCAGCGUACCACCACCUGUCUCCACCAAAGACAGAAUCGAUGCCCUGGAAGUCCACCUUUUCCGUCACCGGUGUCUGCCACUUCUACCUUCUAUCAAGACGAGUAACCCUAACCCUAUCCCGCUGCCACGAUCAACCACCCUCUGGUCAAUGCCGCGGCCCUGGAAGUCAACCUUUUCGUUCGAUUCUUAGCAAACCACAACGAUCUUUUGGGAGUAUAAACCCUCGAUAAUAGGGAAAAAAGAAGUGAUGUAUGAUGGAUCUACCUUGCUUUUCUACCAUGGUGCGUUAAGUCUGUAAAUUUACCCCAGUGUCCAAUUUCCAUUCCUCCCAUUUACAGGUUAAUGAUGAAGUAAAUAGAUAGGAAAGGAACAGUAAAAAUCCAUGGAAAAUAAUGGUUGAUGUGAAGGUGCCCUUAGCAUAUUGUGGAUGAUCCAUAUGCAAACGAUUCAACAAGCAUGGGGAUGACAAUUCCAAUAUUCCAUCCUUCUAAUCUCAAAGUAACCAAUCCCAACAUUAAUAGACCCAAUUCCAACCAUAUCAAGCUCUUUGGCCAUUACCUGGUCUUUCUUUCCAACAAAUGAAGCCUGAUUAUGUUCUAAAUAGUAAGUUAGUAAGAUUUUAUUGUUCACUUUCGUUAUCUUCACAACAAAGAUGGCGUAGUUGUGAUCAUUUUGAUGAUAAUCACCAAGUAAUGCAAAGGCUAUAAAAUAGAAUACAUAAUGCAAAGAUGGCAUAGUUUGUGUCUUUAAUUUGUUUGUUCCGGGUUAUCCUGAUGUUCAUUUUGAGUUUUCCGUGUCUUUUUAUAUGUUUUUAUGUUGGAUGUGUGGGUGUUGAUGAUUUUUCAUUGUAGAAAAGAAACCAGGGGCUUUGUUCGAUGUUGGUUUCCAGGUUUGUUUUUUGUUUUCUAAUAGGAACCUUUUAGGUUUGAGUGAGUUAUCUAUGUCUUUUUGUACAAUGUUGGUUCCCAGCUUUGUUGCUUUUGUUGUCAAUUUGAUAUUUUUUUUGCAAGUUUAUCCUUUAAACAUAUCCAUGCUUAGUAAAGUAUUUUUGAAAUAACGUGCUCUUGAUCAGCUCCGUAUAAGGAAUCCCUACGUAUCCCAAGCCAUGUUCAGACAAAGAAAUAUGUUGAAGUUAUGGAUGCAUUCUCUUUUUGAGGAUGUACGUUGACUAUUUUCAAUAUUGGGAUGGACUUUUGGAUUAAACUGAUCAUUGAAUGAAGAAUCACAGAAGCAUAUCACUUUAAUUAUUUGUCUCCCAAGUUUAUUUUCUUCUUUUGUCCUCUUUAUUUUUUAUCAACUUUACAUCUGAUGGAGAAAUAUCAUUUUUUAUUGCAAGCGAUUAAAAUGAAAAGCUUCAUCAUUUUGUCCUCUUUGUACUUUGAAAUCAAAAGUUUAUUAUUUUAUUAUAUUGUUAUAAAUGAAUGAUA